AUGAACGCUGGCGGCGUGCCUCAUACAUGCCAGUCGAGCGAACGGACGAGAAGCUUGCUUCUCUGAUGUUAGCGGCGGACGGGUGAGUAACACGUGGAUAACCUACCUAUAAGACUGGGAUAACUUCGGGAAACCGGAGCUAAUACCGGAUAAUAUUUUGAACCGCAUGGUUCCAAAGUGAAAGACGGUCUUGCUGUCACUUAUAGAUGGAUCCGCGCUGCAUUAGCUAGUUGGUAAGGUAACGGCUUACCAAGGCAACGAUGCAUAGCCGACCUGAGAGGGUGAUCGGCCACACUGGAACUGAGACACGGUCCAGACUCCUACGGGAGGCAGCAGUAGGGAAUCUUCCGCAAUGGGCGAAAGCCUGACGGAGCAACGCCGCGUGAGUGAUGAAGGUCUUCGGAUCGUAAAACUCUGUUAUUAGGGAAGAACAUAUGUGUAAGUAACUGUGCACAUCUUGACGGUACCUAAUCAGAAAGCCACGGCUAACUACGUG
This 496-nucleotide ribosomal RNA is filed under the name uncultured bacterium. Its description in RNAcentral is "partial 16S ribosomal RNA". It matches the Rfam family "Bacterial small subunit ribosomal RNA", at positions 29 to 507 of the family's 1533-position model. The record is from RNAcentral.